GCAGAGUUGUGAGUAUCUCUAUCUCUGACCGGAAUUGCUGGGCCACAGCUUCUGAUGGCUUCAAUAUUUUCACAGCCAGUUGCUUGCCAUCUGGAAGGCACCCUUUGUAAACCUGACUGCUGCCUCCUUUUCCAAUCAAAUUCUCUGGCAGGAAAUCAGAUGUUGCUGAACAAAGCUCCUGGUAAUUGAACAAUCUACACAUUGAUGAGUACCUUUCAGAAAG
RNAcentral lists this unclassified non-coding RNA (223 nucleotides) under Hevea brasiliensis (rubber tree). The record is from RNAcentral. Lineage: Eukaryota; Viridiplantae; Streptophyta; Magnoliopsida; Malpighiales; Euphorbiaceae.